Molecule: ribosomal RNA, 492 nt
Filed under: uncultured bacterium
Lineage: Bacteria
Description: partial 16S ribosomal RNA
Rfam family: Bacterial small subunit ribosomal RNA
Source: RNAcentral
GAUGAACGCUGGCUACAGGCUUAACACAUGCAAGUCGAGGGGAAACGGCAUUGAGUGCUUGCACUGAAUGGACGUCGACCGGCGCACGGGUGAGUAACGCGUAUCCAACCUUCCCGUUACUGCGGGAUAACCUGCCGAAAGGCAGACUAAUACCGCAUGUUCUUCGAUGACGGCAUCAGAUUCGAAGCAAAGAUCCGUCGGUAACGGAGGGGGAUGCGUCUGAUUAGCUAGUUGGCGGGGCGACGGCCCACCAAGGCGACGAUCAGUAGGGGUUCUGGGCGGAAGGUCCCCCACAAUGGAACCGAGCCCCAGUCCACACUCCUACGGGAGGCAGCAGUAAUGAAUGCUGGUCAAUGGGCGGAAGCCUGAACCAGCCAAGUAGCGUGCAGGAUGACGGCCAUACGGGUUGUAAACUGCUUUUAGGCGAGGAAAAAGUGAGGGACGCGUCCCUUUUUGCAGGUACCGCAUGAAUAAGGACCGGCUAAUUCCGUG